AUGGGGGAGCCGUCGGCACGCAGCCCUCGGGCAGCUUUCGGGCUGGUUUGCAGAGGGCCCAUCGUUAACUGGGCCCCGCGCAAGCGUCUGCAGGGCCGGAGCCUCCGGGCUAGGGGGCUGGGCGGGCCGGCCUGCAGGGGGAGGCUGAGGAGAGGGGCGAGGCUGCGGCCCAGCGAGACCCCUGGGGCGGGAUCAAACGAUGCUCCGCGCCGCGCUGCCCCUUGUGGCCUGGGCGCCCCGGGUGCCGCGCGCACGACGAAGCCGAGGUGCCAGGCGCCCGUUCCGGAGCCACCUGAUGGGAACGGGGGUGUAGGGCACCGAGCCCCGGCCAUGAGGCCCCAGAGCUCGGGGCGCGGCCCGGCCUGCCCCGGCGCCCGCCUCCCGUCCCGGCCGUCCGCCCGGCGCGCCGACCCUGACCCUCCUCGAGCCUCGUCUCCCGGCCUGACCCCUCCGCUGGGCCUCGCGGCGCAGGGAGCCCCCCACCGCGGGACACGGGCUCCCGCCGGUCUGCAGCGCCCCCGCCCCGGUGCACCGCCGCCCGCGGUCCUGUCGGGCAGCUCCCCGCGGAGGCCGCCGCCCCGGCCCGCGCCUCUCGCGCUCCCGCCGAGCGCCCGCGGGCGCAGCCCAGCCCCCCCAGGCCGCGGCCCACGAGGGCCUCCGGGGCCGGGCACCGCCCUCCGCGCCGCUUCCCGGAAGCCCCGCCCGGCCGCGGCCCGUGACGGGCGGGCGGGCCGGCCAACCGGGGCGGGGCGGGGCGGGGCGGGGCGGGCCGGGGGCGUGGCCCGACGGCCGCGGCCAAUGGCGAGCCGCGCCUGCGUGACGGACGGGCGCGGGGCGGGGCGUGCGCGCCCUCCCCCCCGAGUGUCCGCCCGCCCGCGCCCGCAGCCCGCAGCCCGAGCCGCACCCUCCGCGGACGGAGCCCAUGCGCUGGGCGAGCCGCGCGCCCCGGCCCCGGCCCCCUUCCCCGCCCCCGCCCCGGCCCCGGCCCCGGCCCCGGGGGCAGUCGCGCCAGUGAGCGGUGAGUGCGGCGGGGGCGGCGGGCGGCGGGGCGGGGCGGGGGCGGCCGGGGCUGCGGCGCCGGGCGGUGGAGGCGGCGGCGGCGGCGGGGCGCGCGGGGGCGCAGGUGAGCCGCGGGCGGGCGCUGCGGCGGGUGCGGGGUGCGAGGUGCGGGGUGCGGGGGCGCCCCGGGCGGCGGCGUCCGCGCCCUCUCCUCCGCGGGCCGCGUGCGGGGCCCCCAGGUCGCCAGGCGCGCCCCCGAGGCCCGGGCGGCGGGCGGCCUCCGCGAUGCACAGCGGGCGAGCCGGGCGUUCGCACCGGAGCCCCGGGCACCGCGUCCCGAAACCUCCCAGACCGGGAGCCGGGCCGGAGGCCGCGGCCCAGCGCCGUCCCCGCGCCUACCCCGCCGGCCUGCUCCCGGGGCCGCCAUCCCCGCAGCCCGCCGCUGCUCUCCUGCGAAGCUCGAGCGGCCGCGGGCCUGGGGCUCCCCCCGGGACAGGAGGGCCCGGGCCUCGCCCCCGGAGCAGCAGCUGGCGGCCGCGGGCGCUCCGCAGAUGCUAG
RNAcentral lists this long non-coding RNA (1557 nucleotides) under Canis lupus familiaris (dog). RNAcentral describes it as "lncRNA (ENSCAFG00030006365.1)". The record is from RNAcentral. Lineage: Eukaryota; Metazoa; Chordata; Mammalia; Carnivora; Canidae.